UACCAGCUCUCCGAGUGGUAGGGAUGAUUAUUGGGCUUAAAGCGUCCGUAGCCGGCUUAGCAAGUCUCCUGUUAAAUUCAGCGACCUAAUCGUUGAGCCGCGGGAGAUACUACUAGCUAGGAGGCGGGAGAGGUCGACGGUACUUCUGGGGUAGGGGUGAAAUCCUAUAAUCCCGGGAGGACCACCAGUGGCGAAGGCUGUCGACUAGAACGCGCUCGACGGUGAGGGACGAAAGCUGGGGGAGCGAACCGGAUUAGAUACCCGGGUAGUCCCAGCUGUAAACGAUGCGGGCUAGGUGUUGGGGUGGCUACGUGCCACUUCAGUGCCGCAGGGAAGCCAUUAAGCCCGCCGCCUGGGGAGUACGGCCGCAAGGCUGAAACUUAAAGGAAUAGGCGGGGGAGCACCACAAGGCGUGAAGCUCGCGGUUC
RNAcentral lists this ribosomal RNA (428 nucleotides) under uncultured archaeon. RNAcentral describes it as "bacterial SSU rRNA". It matches the Rfam family "Archaeal small subunit ribosomal RNA", at positions 474 to 903 of the family's 1478-position model. The record is from RNAcentral.